This 306-nucleotide ribosomal RNA is filed under the name Triticum aestivum (bread wheat). Its description in RNAcentral is "partial small subunit ribosomal RNA". The record is from RNAcentral. Lineage: Eukaryota; Viridiplantae; Streptophyta; Magnoliopsida; Poales; Poaceae.
AUGCGCACAUUUCAUUUUAGAUUGCUAACAGCCUUUCGUGUCAGCACUAAUGCUAAACCAAUGUCGUCUGAGGCGAUUUUAUCUCUUGAGCGAGGCAAUAAAUGCAUUUUUUUUGUUCUUCUGUGGCAAAAAACACCUUCUGUUUUUUCUUGCAUAUGCUUAUCAAAUUUAUUAACCAUAAUCAUUGUUUGUUUCAUGCAGGCUGACCAGUUAAUUUAUUUAGUGUACUGCUCUUUAAGUAUAUCUCAGCUCCUGAACGUAUUUUGUACCUUGAGGUUGGUUAUUCUGGAUACUACAAUUAACUGA